This 450-nucleotide ribosomal RNA is filed under the name uncultured bacterium. RNAcentral describes it as "bacterial SSU rRNA". It matches the Rfam family "Bacterial small subunit ribosomal RNA", at positions 330 to 794 of the family's 1533-position model. The record is from RNAcentral.
UCCAGACUCCUACGGGAGGCAGCAGUGGGGAAUAUUGGACAAUGGGGGGAACCCUGAUCCAGCGACGCCGCGUGAGUGAAGAAGUGUUUCGGUAUGUAAAGCUCUAUCAGCAGGGAAGAAAGAAAUGACGGUACCUGACUAAGAAGCCCCGGCUAACUACGUGCCAGCAGCCGCGGUAAUACGUAGGGGGCAAGCGUUAUCCGGAUUUACUGGGUGUAAAGGGAGCGUAGACGGCGAUGCAAGUCUGAAGUGAGAGGCGGGGGCCCAACCGCCGGACUGCUUUGGAAACUGUAUGGCUGGAGUGCAGGAGAGGUAAGUGGAAUUCCUAGUGUAGCGGUGAAAUGCGUAGAUAUUAGGAGGAACACCAGUGGCGAAGGCGGCUUACUGGACUGUAACUGACGUUGAGGCUCGAAAGCGUGGGGAGCAAACAGGAUUAGAUACCCGUGUAAC